RNAcentral lists this ribosomal RNA (466 nucleotides) under uncultured bacterium. RNAcentral's name for it is "partial 16S ribosomal RNA". It matches the Rfam family "Bacterial small subunit ribosomal RNA", at positions 29 to 507 of the family's 1533-position model. The record is from RNAcentral.
AUGCACGCUGGCGGCGCGCCUAACCCAUGCAAGUCGAACGAUUAAAGCACCUUCGGGUGUGUAUAAAGUGGCGAACGGCUGAGUAACACGUGGGCAACCUGCCCCUUUCAUUGGGAUAGCCACGGGAAACCGUGGAUAAUACCGAAUACUUCGAGACUUCCGCAUGGAAGACUCGAGAAAGCUCCGGCGGAGAGGGAUGGGCCCGCGGCCUGUUAGCUUGUUGGUGGGGUAACGGCCUACCAAGGCAAUGAUGGGUAGCUGGGUUGAGAGACCGACCAGCCAGAUUGGGACUGAGACACGGCCCAGACUCCUACGGGAGGCAGCAGUGGGGAAUCUUGCACAAUGGGCGAAAGCCUGAUGCAGCGACGCCGCGUGCGGGAUGAAGGCCUUCGGGUUGUAAACCGCUUUCAGCAGGGACGAGGCGAAAGUGACGGUACCUGCAGAAGAAGCCCCGGCUAACUACGUG